Small nuclear RNA from Nomascus leucogenys (northern white-cheeked gibbon), 112 nucleotides. Its record names the gene U5. It matches the Rfam family "U5 spliceosomal RNA". From Rfam's summary of the family: U5 RNA is a component of both types of known spliceosome. The precise function of this molecule is unknown, though it is known that the 5' loop is required for splice site selection and p220 binding, and that both the 3' stem-loop and the Sm site are important for Sm protein binding and cap methylation. Lineage: Eukaryota; Metazoa; Chordata; Mammalia; Primates; Hylobatidae. The record is from Ensembl.
CAGCUGGUUUCUCUUCAAAUCGAACAAAUCUUUCGCCUUUUACUAAAGAUUUCCGUGGAAAGAAACAAAUCAGUUUUAAGCUAAUUUUUUGAAACCUUGCUUUGGCGAGGUG